AGUGAACGCCGGCGGUAGGCCUAACACAUGCAAGUCGAACGGCAGCACAGUAAGAGCUUGCUCUUACGGGUGGCGAGUGGCGGACGGGUGAGGAAUACAUCGGAAUCUACUUUUUCGUGGGGGAUAACGUAGGGAAACUUACGCUAAUACCGCAUACGACCUACGGGUGAAAGCAGGGGAUCUUCGGACCUUGCGCGAUUGAAUGAGCCGAUGUCGGAUUAGCUAGUUGGCGGGGUAAGGGCCCACCAAGGCGACGAUCCGUAGCUGGUCUGAGAGGAUGAUCAGCCACACUGGAACUGAGACACGGUCCAGACUCCUACGGGAGGCAGCAGUGGGGAAUAUUGGACAAUGGGCGCAAGCCUGAUCCAGCCAUACCGCGUGGGUGAAGAAGGCCUUCGGGUUGUAAAGCCCUUUUGUUGGGAAAGAAAAGCAGCAGGUUAAUACCCCGCUGUUCUGACGGUACCCAAAGAAUAAGCACCGGCUAACUUCGU
Molecule: ribosomal RNA, 491 nt
Filed under: uncultured bacterium
Lineage: Bacteria
Description: partial 16S ribosomal RNA
Rfam family: Bacterial small subunit ribosomal RNA
Source: RNAcentral